RNAcentral lists this ribosomal RNA (440 nucleotides) under uncultured bacterium. RNAcentral's name for it is "bacterial SSU rRNA". It matches the Rfam family "Bacterial small subunit ribosomal RNA", at positions 28 to 476 of the family's 1533-position model. The record is from RNAcentral.
GAUGAACGCUGGCGGCGUGCCUAAUACAUGCAAGUCGAGCGAUCUUCUUCGGAAGAGAGCGGCGGACGGGUGAGUAACGCGUGGGUAACCUGCCCUGUACACACGGAUAACAUACCGAAAGGUAUGCUAAUACGAGAUAAUAUACUUUUAUCGCAUGGUAGAAGUAUCAAAGCUUUUGCGGUACAGGAUGGACCCGCGUCUGAUUAGCUAGUUGGUAAGGUAACGGCUUACCAAGGCGACGAUCAGUAGCCGACCUGAGAGGGUGAUCGGCCACAUUGGAACUGAGACACGGUCCAAACUCCUACGGGAGGCAGCAGUGGGGAAUCUUCCACAAUGGGCGCAAGCCUGAUGGAGCAACACCGCGUGAGUGAAGAAGGGUUUCGGCUCGUAAAGCUCUGUUGUUGGAGAAGAACGUGCGUGAGAGUAACUGUUCACGCAGU